GAGGGGGUCGCGGCUGAUUAGCUAGUUGGUGAGGUGAUGGCUCACCAAGGCGAUGAUCAGUAGCCGGCCUGAGAGGGCGCACGGCCACACUGGAACUGAAACACGGUCCAGACUCCUACGGGAGGCAGCAGUGGGGAAUUUUGCGCAAUGGGGGAAACCCUGACGCAGCAACGCCGCGUGGAGGAUGAAGUCCCUUGGGACGUAAACUCCUUUCGACCGGGACGAAUAAUGACGGUACCGGAAGAAGAAGCCCCGGCUAACUUCGUGCCAGCAGCCGCGGUAAUACGAGGGGGGCAAGCGUUGUUCGGAAUUAUUGGGCGUANAGGGCGCGUANGCGGUGCGGAAAGUCUUCAGUGAAAUCUCUGGGCUCAACUCAAAGUCUGCUGGGGAUACUCCCGU
RNAcentral lists this ribosomal RNA (399 nucleotides) under uncultured Burkholderia sp. RNAcentral's name for it is "bacterial SSU rRNA". It matches the Rfam family "Bacterial small subunit ribosomal RNA", at positions 224 to 639 of the family's 1533-position model. The record is from RNAcentral. Lineage: Bacteria; Pseudomonadati; Pseudomonadota; Betaproteobacteria; Burkholderiales; Burkholderiaceae.